This 440-nucleotide ribosomal RNA is filed under the name uncultured bacterium. RNAcentral describes it as "partial 16S ribosomal RNA". It matches the Rfam family "Bacterial small subunit ribosomal RNA", at positions 338 to 795 of the family's 1533-position model. The record is from RNAcentral.
CCUACGGGAGGCAGCAGUAGGGAAUAUUGCUCAAUGGGGGAAACCCUGAAGCAGCAACGCCGCGUGGAGGAUGAAGGUUUUCGGAUUGUAAACUCCUUUUGUUAGAGAAGAUAAUGACGGUAUCUAACGAAUAAGCACCGGCUAACUCCGUGCCAGCAGCCGCGGUAAUACGGAGGGUGCAAGCGUUACUCGGAAUCACUGGGCGGAAAGAGCGCGUAGGCGGGAUAGCAAGUCAGAUGUGAAAUCCUAUGGCUUAACCAUAGAACUGCAUUUGAAACUGUUAUUCUAGAGUAUGGGAGAGGUAGGUGGAAUUCUUGGUGGAGGGGUAAAAUCCGUAGAGAUCAAGAGGAAUACUCAUUGCGAAGGCGACCUGCUAGAACAUAACUGACGCUGAUGCGCGAAAGCGUGGGGAGCAAACAGGAUUAGAUACCCUAGUAGUC